UAGGGAAUUUUCGGCAAUGGGGGAAACCCUGACCGAGCAACGCCGCGUGAGUGAUGAAGGCCUUCGGGUUGUAAAGCUCUGUUGUAAGGGAAGAACGGCGAUGAUAGGGAAUGAUCAUCGAGUGACGGUACCUUACCAGAAAGCCACGGCUAACUACGUGCCAGCAGCCGCGGUAAUACGUAGGUGGCAAGCGUUAUCCGGAAUUAUUGGGCGUAAAGGGUGCGUAGGCGGCCAUUUAAGUCUAAGGUGAAAGUUCGAGGCUCAACUUCGAAUUGCCUUAGAAACUGGAUGGCUAGAGUGCAGGAGAGGGCAAUGGAAUUCCAUGUGUAGCGGUAAAAUGCGUAGAUAUAUGGAGGAACACCAGUGGCGAAGGCGGUUGCCUGGCCUGUAACUGACGCUGAAGCACGAAAGCGUGGGGAGCAAAUAGG
This 428-nucleotide ribosomal RNA is filed under the name uncultured Enterococcus sp. Its description in RNAcentral is "bacterial SSU rRNA". It matches the Rfam family "Bacterial small subunit ribosomal RNA", at positions 355 to 776 of the family's 1533-position model. The record is from RNAcentral. Lineage: Bacteria; Bacillati; Bacillota; Bacilli; Lactobacillales; Enterococcaceae.